Molecule: ribosomal RNA, 256 nt
Filed under: uncultured bacterium
Lineage: Bacteria
Description: partial 16S ribosomal RNA
Rfam family: Bacterial small subunit ribosomal RNA
Source: RNAcentral
UACGUAGGGUGCAAGCGUUGUCCGGAAUUAUUGGGCGUAAAGAGCUCGUAGGCGGUCUGUCGCGUCGGCUGUGAAAACCCGGAGCUCAACUCCGGGCCUGCAGUCGAUACGGGCAGACUGGAGUUCGGCAGGGGAGACUGGGAAUUCCUGGUGGUAGCGGUGAAAUGCGCAGAUAUCAAAGAGGAACACCGGUGGCGAAGGCGGGUCUCUGGGCCGAUACUGACGCUGAGGAGCGAAAGCGUGGGGAGCGAACAGG